Molecule: ribosomal RNA, 235 nt
Filed under: uncultured bacterium
Lineage: Bacteria
Description: partial 16S ribosomal RNA
Rfam family: Bacterial small subunit ribosomal RNA
Source: RNAcentral
GGGUGAGUAACACAUUGGUAACCUACCUCUAAGUCGGGGAUAGCCUGCUGAAAAGCAGAUUAACACCCGAUAGUCAUGGGGGGACACAAGUCAUUCCCAUGUAAAUUUUUUAGCUUAGAGAGGGGCCUAUGGCCUAUCAGCUAGUUGGUAAGGUAAAAGCUUACCAAGGCUAUGACGGGUAGCAGGCGUGAGAGCGUGACCUGCCUCAAUGGGACUGAGACACUGCCCAUACUCC